UAGCUCAGUUGGUAGAGCGUCUGCCUUACAAGCAGAAUGUCGGCGGUUCGAUCCCUGU
Molecule: transfer RNA, 58 nt
Filed under: Acinetobacter baumannii
Lineage: Bacteria; Pseudomonadati; Pseudomonadota; Gammaproteobacteria; Moraxellales; Moraxellaceae
Description: tRNA-Val
Rfam family: tRNA
About the family: Transfer RNA (tRNA) molecules are approximately 80 nucleotides in length. Their secondary structure includes four short double-helical elements and three loops (D, anti-codon, and T loops).
Source: RNAcentral